This 253-nucleotide ribosomal RNA is filed under the name uncultured bacterium. RNAcentral's name for it is "partial 16S ribosomal RNA". It matches the Rfam family "Bacterial small subunit ribosomal RNA", at positions 524 to 776 of the family's 1533-position model. The record is from RNAcentral.
UACGUAGGUGGCAAGCGUUGUCCGGAUUUAUUGGGCGUAAAGGGGGCGCAGGCGGUUCCUUAAGUCUGAUGUGAAAACCCACGGCUCAACCGUGGAAGGUCAUUGGAAACUGGGGAACUUGAGUGCAGAAGAGGAGAGUGGAAUUCCUAGUGUAGCGGUGAAAUGCGUAGAGAUUAGGAGGAACACCAGUGGCGAAGGCGGCUUUUUGGCCUGUAACUGACACUGAGGCGCGAAAGCGUGGGGAGCAAACAGG